ACCAGUUUCCUCUCCCUGCGGCAGAAGAAAUGUCAGGGCUUCCUGGACCUCUGGCAGACCUCUGAGGUGACCUGGACUUUCCCAUGGGUUCCUACAGUCCCCCACCAUCUCCCAGAUCAAUAUCCUGGGGGGACUGCCCACAACACGGACCGGCCAAGCUGCCCGCCUGGGGGCAGGUGGAUGUACUUGACCCGCCCACCAAGGUCCAGAACAGGCCCUUCCACAAUCCAGGCACUGAAUGUACUGAGCCUCCUGGGGAGCCGGGACUUGCUGUUCCUCCCAGAGUGAUGUGUCAGCAGGCGGUGUCUUGUAAUCUGCAAGGUCCAGGAUUCUCCCUCUGGCCCUAAAAUUGGUGAGUCUUCUAGGUCUUUUGCUGGGCAACAGAUAGUUUAAGUGAACAGGGUUUCCUGUGUGUGUACAGGCUGAGGUCAGACAGCAUCGGUACAAAAGAUACAGGCUCAUCUGGCUUCCUGUUUUACCAGCCGAUGUGUCUGGCUUUUAUCCUCUUAGUAUUAAUAUGGCUGCCUCACCUUUGCUACUACAUCCACAUUCUAUUCGGAAAGAAAUAAAAGGAGUAAUGUGACAGUUGUUUUCUAGGAAAGUUUUACUUUUAGAUUCAGGAAGGAAUUUCUUCUGCCUUUCUUCCAUUGCCCAGAGCUGGGCCACCCUAGCUGCAAGAGAUGCUGAGAGGUUAAGUGUUAAGCUUGUCUGGGUCCUAGAGUAGAGGCAGGCAGAGACCGGAGGCAUGGAACUUGUGUGCGAGAGGUCACACAGGUUGGGUCAGGCAAGCCUCAGCAAUGAUGUCAUGACUGUGCCUUCCUUGCCUAGCUUCAGAUCUCCUGUGUACCCCUGGCUGUCUGGACCUGCUUCUCUUCCUCUGCUCACAGUGUGCAGUUGAAUGGGACUACAAACUCUCCUGUGUCACCAGGGUUUCUAGUAGUCUGUCUUGUCUCCACGGAUAACUCAGCAGUCCCAGAGAAAGCCCCCUGCCUGCUGUCUGCAAAGAGAAGCCAUUGUUUUCCCAGUGUGGGGUAACCCUCAAGGACUCUGGGAGCUCUAAGAACAGUGGGUAAGUUCUAACCAUCUGUAUUUCCAUGGGUGGGAAGCUGAAUCUGACUCUGUUCUUUGGGCACCCAAAGCUCAGAAGUUCAAAGUCAUCCUCAGCUACAAUUGAGUUCCAGACCAGCCUUGACCACAUAAGACCCUGUCAUAAAAAAUAAGAGGGGCUGGAAAGGUGGUGCAGUGGUUAAGAACACUGGCUGCUCUUCCAGAGGAUCCGGUUUCAUUCCCAACACCAACAUGGCAGCUCACAACCACCUGGAACCUCAGCUCUAGGGAGUCUGACACCUUUUGGUCGUUGUGGCAUCAGGCACACAGAACUGUGUGUUAGCGUACAUGCAGACAAAACACCUGCACAUAUUAUAAAAUCAAAUAAUAAGAGGGGAAGGAGGAAGAGGAGGAAGAAGGGGAGGAAAGGCAGGAGAGGAAGGAGGAGGAAGAGGAGGAGAGAGAAGAGGAUUGGAGGAAGAAGGCAAGGUAGAAACUCAUUGCAGUGGUUGGAGUUUUUAUUCUCUCAGCCCGGCAGAGGGAUGAGGGAGCAUAUGUCCUCACAAAAUGCCCUGCUUCGUGAUCUUGAGAAUGUGCCUUUCCUCCCUCCCUGCAUUCCAGGGUUCUGUUUCUAG
This 1682-nucleotide long non-coding RNA is filed under the name Rattus norvegicus (Norway rat). Its description in RNAcentral is "long non-coding RNA NONRATT032862". Lineage: Eukaryota; Metazoa; Chordata; Mammalia; Rodentia; Muridae. The record is from RNAcentral.